GACGAACGCUGGCGGCGUGCUUAACACAUGCAAGUCGAACGGUAAGGCCCUUCGGGGUACACGAGUGGCGAACGGGUGAGUAACACGUGGGUGAUCUGCCCUGCACUUCGGGAUAAGCCUGGGAAACUGGGUCUAAUACCGGAUAGGACCCUGGGAUGCAUGUCCUGGGGUGGAAAGCUUUUGCGGUGUGGGAUGGGCCCGCGGCCUAUAAGCUUGUUGGUGGGGUGAUGGCCUACCAAGGCAACGACGGGGAGCCGGCCUGAGAGGGUGACCGGCCACACGGGGACUGGGAUACGGCCCAGACUCCUGCGGGAGGCAGCAGUGGGGAAUAUUGCACAAUGGGCGCAAGCCUGAUGCAGCGACGCCGCGUGAGGGAGGACGGCCUUCGGGUUUUAAGCCGCUUGCAGCACCGACGAAGCGCAAGUGACGGUAGGUGCAGAAGAAGGACCGGCCAACUACGGGCCAGCCGCCGCAGUAA
RNAcentral lists this ribosomal RNA (478 nucleotides) under uncultured bacterium. Its description in RNAcentral is "partial 16S ribosomal RNA". It matches the Rfam family "Bacterial small subunit ribosomal RNA", at positions 28 to 523 of the family's 1533-position model. The record is from RNAcentral.